Molecule: ribosomal RNA, 405 nt
Filed under: uncultured bacterium
Lineage: Bacteria
Description: partial 16S ribosomal RNA
Rfam family: Bacterial small subunit ribosomal RNA
Source: RNAcentral
GAUGAACGCUGGCGGCGUGCCUAAUACAUGCAAGUCGAGCGAAGCGGGGACGGGUGAGUAACGCGUGGAUAACCUCCUCUAAGACUGGGAUAACUUCGGGAAACCGGAGCUAAACCGCAUACUUAUAGAUGGAUCCGCGUUGCAUUAGCUAGUUGGUAGGGUAAAGGCUUACCAAGGCAACGAUGCAUAGCCGACCUGAGAGGGUGAUCGGCCACACUGGAACUGAGACACGGUCCAGACUCCUACGGGAGGCAGCAGUAGGGAAUCUUGCGCAAUGGGCGAAAGCCUGAUGGAGCAAUGCCGCGUGAGUGAAGAAGGUCUUCGGAUCGUAAAACUCUGUCAGUAGGGAAGCGGUACCUACACAGAAAGCCACGGCUAACUACGUGCCAGCCGCCGCGGUAAUAC